AUUAUUCCCGUUGUUGUCCUUGUUGUUAUUGUUGUUAUCUUUGUAGUCGUUGUUGUCGAUGUUGUUGUUAUUGUCGAUGCUAUCAUUGUUCUCGUCAUUGUCGUUGUUGUCGUCGUUUUCCUCGUCGUCGACGUCGUCGUCAUCGUUGAUUUUGUUGUUUUGUUGUUUUUGCUGUUUUUAAUGUUGUUGUUGUUGGUGUUGGUGGUGUUGUUGUUGUUGUUGUUGUUGUUGUUGUUGUUGUUGUUGUUGUUGUNN
Molecule: long non-coding RNA, 255 nt
Filed under: Hordeum vulgare
Lineage: Eukaryota; Viridiplantae; Streptophyta; Magnoliopsida; Poales; Poaceae
Description: long non-coding RNA (HVUL_LNC021574)
Source: RNAcentral